AGAGUUUGAUCAUGGCUCAGGAUGAACGCUAGCGGCAGGCCUAUACAUGCAAGUCGAACGCUCAGUAGCAAUACUGGGAGUGGCGCACGGGUGCGUAACGCGUACACAAUCUACCUCUAAGCGGGGGACACCUCCUGGAAACGGGGAUUAAUACCGCAUAAUAUGCCGAGGUCGCAUGACUUUGGUAUUAAAGCAGCAAUGCACUUAGAGAUGAGUGUGCGUCCCAUUAGGUAGUUGGUGAGGUAACGGCUCACCAAGCCUAUGAUGGGUAGCCGGUCUGAGAGGAUGGUCGGCCACACGGGCACUGAGACACGGGCCCGACUCCUACGGGAGGCAGCAGUAAGGAAUAUUGGUCAAUGGUGGAAACACUGAACCAGCCAUGCCGCGUGGAGGAAUAAGGUCCUACGGAUUGUAAACUCCUUUUGACGAGGAAGAAAGUGUUAGAUUUAUCUAAUUUUGACGGUACUCGUAGAAUAAGCACCGGCUAACUCCGUG
Molecule: ribosomal RNA, 495 nt
Filed under: uncultured bacterium
Lineage: Bacteria
Description: bacterial SSU rRNA
Rfam family: Bacterial small subunit ribosomal RNA
Source: RNAcentral